This 146-nucleotide unclassified non-coding RNA is filed under the name uncultured fungus. RNAcentral's name for it is "sequence contains ITS1". Lineage: Eukaryota; Fungi. The record is from RNAcentral.
UUAAACUAUGUUUUGGAUUCAGACACAGACUCUACAGCAUAAGGCGGCGCCGAAGCGCCGAAGCACGUUUCGCUUCCACAGGUUUGAAGGGUUGAAGGCCAAAAGGCCAUUCAGUAAUGAUCCCUCCGCAGGUUCACCUACGGAGA